CUUAACCAAAACACUUUGCGACUUUCUCUAUCAAUGUUCUUCAAAAAAAAAAAAAAAUCUAGAUUCUUGUAGUUCAGCAACAACCUUGAUCCAAUUUUACUUCAAAUUCUGUUGUCUUUGUCGAAAUACAUCAAUCACUAAUUUCAUUUCGUUCGAAAUUACAAAAAUCGUGUUCUCAAUUGUUUGCUAAAUCGAUCGAAUUGAUUCAAAUCUGAAGAAACUCAAAUCUGAAGUUGAUGUUAAUUUGAAGAAACUCAAAUCUGAAAAAGCAAAAAAAAAAAAAAAAACAGAGAAUGGUUGGGAAUGGAGUUGAUGUUUUUGGGACUGAGUUCCCAACAGUUUUCAAUUUGGUUUUUUCUAUGGAGGUGAUGGAACUGCAAUUCUCACUGGUGUAACUGGUGUUUGAUGAAAUUCCUGACAGAUCCAAGUAUAUGGGUAAUGGUUGUUUCAGGGAGAUCUUGUAUGGUAAAAUGUAUUGAAGAUGUCGGUUCAAUUCAGUGGAGAAAAGAUGGUUUGGGCACAGUGAAAGGUGCAGAAAGAUUUAGUGCCACAAUGUACAACAGCGCAUCCAUUGGUAAAAGUGAUCAUUGGUUGUGAACUUGAUUAUGUACUGUCUAUGCGCUGCUAAAAGAGCUUGUAAUUCUCUUGCUUAAGUGGCAAUAUACUGAUUGUAAUC
Molecule: long non-coding RNA, 676 nt
Organism: Papaver somniferum (opium poppy)
Lineage: Eukaryota; Viridiplantae; Streptophyta; Magnoliopsida; Ranunculales; Papaveraceae
Exons: 2
Source: RefSeq, a predicted model, not a curated record